CGUUUGCUCGUGGAAACGGGAAGGGCGUUCGGACCGGGAGAGGGGCAGGUUUAGAAACCGGAGGUGGAGCCUGAGUAACUCCAGUCAUACAUCAUGUGCAGUGCAGGGUGGUCGUACCUUGGAGGUGGUUUACGUCUGUUACACCUCAGUAACCUUUGGGAUGAAGAGACAAAACUGUGGGUCAUCCAAACCCAGCGACUGCCACUUACCAGUGGCAUUGCAGAGAAGAGAAACAGGACGAGGAGAAACAAGAAAAACAUUUUAGGUCUAGGCAGGCUGGAAAACAAUGGCAGUUCCUGACCACCUGAAACCUAAUGGUGCCUCAAGUCACAGGAAUCAGUAAACAUUUUCCUGACAUGACAUC
Chiroxiphia lanceolata (lance-tailed manakin) is the source of this 364-nucleotide long non-coding RNA. RefSeq lists it as uncharacterized. The record is from RefSeq and is a predicted model, not a curated record. Lineage: Eukaryota; Metazoa; Chordata; Aves; Passeriformes; Pipridae. The transcript has 3 exons.